GACGAACGCUGGCGGCGUGCCUAAUACAUGCAAGUCGAGCGGAACACUUGGAGCUUGCUCCAAGCGUUUAGCGGCGACGGGUGAGUAACACGUGGGCAACCUGCCCUGCAGAUCGGGAUAACUCCGGGAAACCGGUGCUAAUACCGAAUAGUUUGAGGCCUCUCCUGAGGCUUCACGGAAAGACGGUUUCGGCUGUCACUGCAGGAUGGGCCCGCGGCGCAUUAGCUAGUUGGUGGGGUAACGGCCCACCAAGGCCACGAUGCGUAGCCGACCUGAGAGGGUGACCGGCCACACUGGGACUGAGACACGGCCCAGACUCCUACGGGAGGCAGCAGUAGGGAAUCUUCCGCAAUGGACGCAAGUCUGACGGAGCAACGCCGCGUGAGUGACGAAGGUUUUCGGAUCGCAAAACUCUGUUGUGAGGGAAGAACACGUACCAACUAACUAUGUACCUUGACGGUACCUCACCACGAAAGACCACGGCUAACUACGUAGCCAGCAGCCGCGGUAACG
RNAcentral lists this ribosomal RNA (513 nucleotides) under uncultured bacterium. RNAcentral's name for it is "bacterial SSU rRNA". It matches the Rfam family "Bacterial small subunit ribosomal RNA", at positions 28 to 525 of the family's 1533-position model. The record is from RNAcentral.